Long non-coding RNA from Symphalangus syndactylus (siamang), 556 nucleotides. RefSeq lists it as uncharacterized. NCBI's taxonomy places the organism in Eukaryota, Metazoa, Chordata, Mammalia, Primates, Hylobatidae. The record is from RefSeq and is a predicted model, not a curated record.
GCAGAUUGUUCAUAGACACGGGGCAGCUCCUCCGAGGCCAGAAGAGUCUGCAGGGAUACCAGAAAAGUCGUUACAGAUUACAGUGUUUUAAAACCAGUUGAAUAAGUUGUCAACAUUUAAAUAUUAGGAGAGUUCAAAUAAAAAUCUUGACAAUUUGGAAGAUCUGGCAACACUGGAUCCACAGUCCCACAUGACGAUGAUGGGCUCCAGUUCUGUGUGGUCCACUUACUUUGGUGCACUGACUCGGUCAUCUUAUCGACUCCUCACAUUAAUUCUGUGAGACUUUUGAAGAUCAUAAAAGUUCUCGGUGGGUUAUUUUCAGGCUAGUGAUGCCAGACAUGAUGGCAGACUUGGAAAAAAUAACAGAAGACAUAAUCUCUGACCUCAGAGAGCUUAUAGUUUAGAGCUGAAGACAGAAAACAAGAAGAGCAACCAACCAACAAAAGCCACUGAUUAAGUGCCACAACCCAGCAAAUACAAGAUGCUGUAGGGAUGCACCAAAAAUGGCACUUACCUUGACCUUAGCAUCCACCUCGUUUAUACAGACCGGAUUCAU